GCCAUUUGGGGAGUGCACGGCGGUUGGGCGCGGGGCAUAUUUGGCUGUGACGCCCAACCUGGGUUUCUAUCGCCCUAUCCCCUAGGGCUCAUCUGAGACCUAAGAUGGCGGCGUUUGCAUAAUGUGAAAGCGAUGCAGGCGUACCAGAUUGGAGAGGCAGGCAAAGGAUGUAUCUGCUAAGGAAGGUUCGGGAACUCGCCAAUACUUGUGGCCUCUCUAUUCCCUGAAAAACAAUAAUGAAGUUAGGCCAGUGAAUACCCUACAGUGGUUCAAGUGAAAGGAGGAAAAAUCACACAUCUCUCACUUUAAAUCAAAGGUAGAUCACAUCCAAAAAAUAAAAUACCUAGAAUAAACCUACCAAAGGAGGCAAAAGACCUGUAUUCCAAAAACUCUUAAGAAGCUGAUGGAAUAAAUUGAAGAUGACACAAACAGAUGGAAGAAAUACCAUGUUCUUGGAUUGCAAGAAUCAGUAUUGUCAAAGUGACCAUACUGCCCAAGACAAUCUAAAUUUUCAGUGCAAUCCCUAUCAAAUUUAUCAAUGGCAUUUUUCUCAGAAGUGGAGCAAAAUUUUUAAAAAUUUUAUGGAAACAUAAAAGACCUUGAAUAGCCGAAACAAUCUUGAGAAAGAAGAGCAGAACUGGAGGAAUCGUGCUCCUUGACUUCAGACUAUACUACAAAGCUACAGUACUCAAAACAGAAUGAUAUUGGGGGGAUGGAACCAGACAUAUUAUAGAUCAAUGGAUAGAAAGCCCAGAAAUAAACCCAUGCCCUUUGGUCAAUUAAUCUACAACAAAGGAGGCAAGAACAUACAAUGGAAAAAAGACAGUCUCUUCAAUAAACCAUGCUGGGAAAAUUGGACAGCUACAUGUGAAAGAAUGGCACAAUGAAUUAAGUAUACAGUGUUGUCACUGCAGCAUCUCAGGUCACUGCUGUGGCGUGGGUUUGAUCCCUGGCCUGGGAACUUCUACAUGCCAUGGGUGUGGCCAAAAAGACAGCCCAAAUCCUCCCAAAUAACCAUGAGAUACCACUUCAUACUGUGCCUAUAAAAUGGAAAAUAACAAAUGUCAGUAAUGAUGUGGAAAAGUUAAAAUUUUUGUUCCUUUUGGAGUUCCUGUCAUGGCUCAGUGGUUAACGAAUCCAACUAGGAACCAUGAGGUUGUGGGUUUGACCCCUGGCCUCGCUCAGUGGGUUAAGGAUCCAGCGUUGCUGUGGCUGUGGUGUAGGCUGGUGGCUACAGCUCCGAUUCGACCCAUAGCCUGGGAACCUCCACAUGCUGCAAGUGUGGCCCUAAAAGCAAAAAAAAAAAUUGUUCUUUUUAUGGGGGACAUCAAAUAGUGAGGCUACUGUGAAGAACAGUAUUGUAUUUCCUAAAAAAUUUAAAUAUAGAAUUUUUGUGACCCCAAUUCCAUAUCAUGUAUAGUCCUAAGUUAAAGGAAUAUUAAUGUUCAAGUAAACAUUUUGUAUGGAAAUAUGUACAGCCACAACUAUUUGCCAUAGGCAAAGGGUGAAAUUGUUUCAAAUAUCCACGAGUAGAUGAAUGGCUAGAGAAAGUGGUAUAUUCAUAAAAUGCAGUAUUAUUCAUCCAUAAAUAGGAAUCAAUUACAGAUACAUAGUAUGUCAUGGAUGUUCAUCUUAAUCAUUGUGCUAAGUGAAAGAAACCAGACACAUAAGGGCCUUAUUCUAUUUACAUGGAAUAUGAAGAAGAGGUAAAUCAGUAGGGGCAAAGCAGAUUAGUGGUUGUCAGUGACUAGAGAGGGUACAGGGAAUGGAGAAUGGAGAAUUUUGACCAUAGUGAUGAUUGCACAAAGGCCCCUGAAUUGUAUUAAAAUGGUGAGUUUUAUGUAUGUGAAUUUUACCUCAUUUUUAAAAAUAAAGGAAUUAAUCAUUUAAAAAAAAAUACGUGGUGGGCAAGAUAUAGCUCCCUGGGUAUAGUUUAUUGACUCUUGGUAUUGUUUAUUCAUGGCUAUUUGCAUUGCAACAUAUUUAUUACAAAUAUUUUUUAAUGAGACAGUCUAAAGACAUAUUUAGAAUGUAGUAGGAUAUAAGUUGUCACAAAAUGCUGGCUUUCAAAAUUUAUAUACAAAUCAUUAGAAUCAAUAUGCUGUUAGCCCUGUAGAGGAUUGGCAAAGACUUGAGCAUGUCCCACAUAAACCACAGUUGUAGGUCCUCAAGUUUAUUUGGCAACAGAGAAACAGCAAAAAUUAUAAGCAGUCCUAAUGUAUACUUUCUAGAAUGGGUCCAAUAAAAUGGAUUGAGGAUUCUAAAUAUUGGUGAGUAUUUUACUAACCAGUAUCUUUUACACAGGGAUGGUGUGAGUAUAAUUGGGGAUAGUCACAUUGGAAAACUUUUCAUGAUACGCCAUAAUACUGAACAUGCUCAUAUUUUCUGACUUAGAAAUUUCACUACAGUGUAUAUGCUUAUCAAGAUUGAUGUGUAUAUGUUCCCUAAAGACAUGUUAAUGUCUGUAGCAUUAUUAUUCUUAAUGGCUGGCUCUAAGCUGGAAAACAUGCAAAUGACUGUCAACAGAAUAGACACAUCAAUGGUAGUGGUGUUUCCUUUUUGUGGAUUACUACACAUUAUUGAAAUAGAACAAACUGCAACUACAUGUUAUGCAGUUAUCUCCUAUUAUUUUCAGCAAAGCAGCAGAAUGUAUUAACCAAAAGUUGGAAUAGUGGUUCAUCUGGGUAAAAAUGUAAUUAAUUAUAGCAGUGCACAUGUCACUUUAAUGAUGCCAAUAAUUUUUUCAAGUUUGUUAAAUUAUUCUUUGUGUACGUAUAUAAUUUAUACAGUCUUCUGUGUAUCAUAUUUUAUAAUAUAAUAAAAAUAAAAUUUCACUCAAAUACCAAUUUUUGAGGAUCCUUCUCAGGAUGUAUGGGUAUACCUUGGAGAUAUUGUGGGUUCAGUUCCAGACAACCACAGUAAAGUAAAUAUCACAAUAAUUUGAGUUACAUGAGUUUUGUUGAUUUACUAGUGCACAUAAAAGUCAAGUUUGCACUGUACUGUAGUUUCUUCUGUACAAUAGCAUCAUGUCUAAAAAAAAAGUACAUACCUUAAUUUAAAAAUUUUUGGAGUUCCUGUCGUGGUGCAGUGGAAAUGAAUCCAACUAGGAACCAUGAGGUUGUGGGUUCGAUCCCUGGCCUCCACUCAGCUGGUUAAGGAUGUGGUGUUGCUGUGAACUGUGGUGUAGGUCGCAGACGUGACUCGGAUCUGGUGUUGCUGUGGCUGGCAUAGGUCAGCAGCUACUGCUCCAAUUAGACCCCUAGCCUGGGAACCUCCAUAUGCCAUGGGUGUGGCCCUAAAAAUGACAGAAAUGAAAAUUCAUUGCUGAAAAAUGCUAAGCAUCAUCUGAGCCUUUAUCAAGUUAGUCGUGACAUCAAAAAUUACUGAUCAUCAUAAAAAAUAUAAUUGCAAAAAAGUUUUAAGUAUAUACUUCUGAAGUUUCUCCUAAUGGCAUACAGCAAAUGAUGAAAUAUUUAAGAGUUUUCUUGAAACUGAAGAGCAAGAUUGUGUGACAUUCAAACUACCACUCACUCAUUCUUCCCAUUUCAACUCAUUAGGAUGACUCUACUCUAAGUAUUGGAGCCAAAAAUAAAAAUAUCUCUGUCUUUUAGCUAGCAGUUCAGGUCUGAAGUCCAGAAUGGGAUGAUGCCAAAAUUUCUUAUUCUCCAGCUCAGUUUUGUAGAUCCUCAGUUCCACACAAUUGCAGCUGACAGGAUGAAGAUUUAUUCCUCUCCUCCCCACUCAGACACAUUGAAUAGGAGCUCUUCCUCAGGCUUAGUAUCCUUAGAAUACUGAACCCCCUGUCUUCACCGUAGGUCAUUUGUACCUUUGAAGUUCCAUAUUAGGUGGGGCAAAUUGAGAACACAGCAAUCCCCCAGUUUAAUACUUAAAAAUCUGUAUUGUCACUUUGGGGAUAGGUUGUCACUAUCUCUCUAGCUCUUUGGAUCUGGGUGACAGAUUCUGUUAAGUAGGACAGGCAGAACAUAAGAAUAGAGAGCCCUGAAGCCCUCCCUAAUGCACCUACUUUUAUUUUAUUUUACUUUAUUAUUUUACUUUAUAUUUUUAUAACUGCACCUGAGGCACAUAAAAGUUCCUGGGCUAGGAGUUGAAUUGAAGCUAUAGCUGCAGGCCUAUGCCACAGUCACAGCAAUGUUGGAUAUGAGCUACAUCUGCAACCUCUGCCACAGCUUGCGGCAGUGCUGGAUCCUUAACCCACUGAGCAAGGCCGGGGAAUUGAACCUGCAUCCUUAUGGACACUAUGUUGGGUUCUUAACCCACAAUGGGAACUCCCUAAACUACCGUUAUUUUAAAGAGUAUGGUGACAUUGAAGCCUAUGGGCAAACCCCAAAAUGGUAGAUAUUUCAGUAGUAAGUAAUUAGAUAGCUGGUACUUCAUGAGUGCAACCUGCCUAACUGUAGGCUAGCUAAUUUUCCACAGAGAACCAUGAAAAGCAUUGAGAGCAUUCCUUUUGUCUGAACAAAUACUGGCAUCAGUCACUACCACUGCAGUGGGCCUGAAUUUAACUGUAUUAGGAUAUUUAGUAAUAUAUGUUAUAAAUCAUAAAAAAAGAACUUGUAUUUAGUGUAGCCAACAGCUCAAUUUGUUCAAGACUAGAGACCACUUGACUCCUUGUAUAUUUGUCAUUCCAGGAUAACUGGACAUUUCCAGGGCUAAACCCUCUGAGAAGCAAUAUCAUAAGCUUAACAUUGUGUGAGAAAUAGACUUCAGUAAGAGUCCAGUGAAUCACUAAACAUUAAAAAUUUAAUUGAUAACUACCAUCCCUGGAGUUGUGCUUAACUAGCCAAUAUUGCUACCAUCAUUUAUGUCUUUUUUCCAACUGCAAAAAAAAUUGAGACAUGCAAAAAAAAAAAAAAAUGUGACCAUUAGCUGAAGAGGUUAGCAACAGAACCUGCAUUUGAAGGCCUAUGUGCCUAGUUUAGCAGAAAAUUCUUUUAAAUCAGUCGUUAUAUAUUCAAGGAACUUGAGGAAACUAUACUUAAAGAUGUACAUUAAUGUUAGGUUGUUGUGGUAGUGACAGUCUACAUAUGUGAUAAAAUGGCAUGGGAAUUAAGUUAUAGACACACUUUGUACAAAUAGAGAUUUUCUGGUUUUGAUAUUCUACUAUAGGUAUUGUUAAAAAUGUUACUGUUAGAGAAAAAUUGAUGAGAAGUAUGAGCAUCCUUUUAGUACUGUUAUUCAACAUCCUGUUUCUCCAUAAUUAAACAUCAUUUUUUGAAAAUAUGUCACCUAGAAAAACCCCAAAGAACACCCAGUUUCAAUAGAGUAACAAAGAUACGAGUAAUAGAAAAAUUAUAAACUAUAUGAAAUGGGUGGACUGGCAAGAUUAUAGAACAAAGACACUUAUCUGGAUUAUUCCUCAAUUUAGAUGCAGUUAAUUAUAGAUUUUCAACAUACAUGAAACAAAAAAUGGAAAGAAAUAGAUCCACAAUUAUUCUUGGAGACUAACUUUCCUCUCUCAUUACUUAUUAAUAUUCAUUGUCUUAUUCAUAUAUUAAGAUAGAAAAUAUGGACACGAAAGAACACUGUCAAUCACCUUGACUUAAAUGACAUUUAUGGAACACUCCACCCAACAAUAGUAGAUUCCAGGUUUACUUGAAACAUCUAGCAAUUUUCACCAUAUGCUCAGCUAAAAGAAUAUCUCAUCCAGUGUAAUAUAAUCAUAGAAAGUAUUAUUUGUUGUAAUAAUUGGAAUUAAAUUAGAAAUCAGUAAUAGAAACAUCUAGUAUUCCCCCUACUGUUUGGAAAUUAAACAACAAUCUCUUCAAAAGCUAAUUGGUAUAAGACAUAUUGGAAAUUAGAAAAUAUUUUGAACUGAAUAAAGCAGACAUGCAAGUUAUCAAAACUGGGAUGUUUCUAGGAGUUCCCUUUGUUUUUAAAAAUAGUUUUGUGGUUGCAGUUCCUGUUGUGGCUCAGCGGGUUCCAAACCUGACUAGUAUCCAUUUGGAUGUGGGUCCGAUCCCUGGCCUUUCUCAGUAGGUUGAAGAUCCGGCAUUGCUGUGAGCUGUGGUGUAGGCCAGCAGCCGCAGCUCCAAUUCAACCCCUUGCCUGGGAACUUCAUAUGCCACAAGUGUGGCCCUAUAAAAAAAAGAAAAACAAAAAAAGGUUUUGUGGCAGACAAACCAUAAGGUAACCCCCAAUGAUUCUUGUUAUCUAGUGUUCACACCUCUAAUCAUCUGUCUCCCCUUCUGUGCACAAAGUAACAAGUUCUUACUAAUGGCAAAAGUGAUGGAAUGUCACUCCCUUGAUUAUGUUAUGUUAUAUGGGAGAAAUCACUUUUAUUAUUAUGUCAUGUUAUAUAAAACUAUCUCAUCAGGCUAUAGGAAGAAACUGUUUGCUGGUUUGUCAAUGUAAGCAGUUAUAUUAUAGAGGCACAUGAGAACAGAAGCUAUGUGCAUCAUCUAGGACCUAAGGAACUUUGGUUAUGUAUCCACAAGAACAUAAUUCUGUCAACAACCUGAAUAAAUUUGGAAGUAUAUUCUUUCCCAGGUAUUCCUCCAGAUCAGAUUCCAGCUCAGCCAGUACUUUGAUUAUAGUCUUGUGUGACCCUAAACAGAGGAUCCAACUAAAUUGUCCUAAAUUGUGGCCCACAGAAAACAUGAUGUGAUAAAUAUGUGUUGUUUAAAGCUGUUAACUUCAUGGUAAUUGUUAGGCAGGAAUAGAAAAUGAAUAUAAGGUUUAAUGUGAAUCUUAGUUGGAUCUCCGUAAAUUAUCUUUCAAAAAAUUUUUUUUCCAAGGUCAUAAUUUAAUCCUGAUUUACCAUAUUGAGAACCCAAUGAGGAAUCCCCAUGACAUAAAAUGGGGAAAGGCUAUUUUGCCUUGAAUGACAUUUUCUAAAUAUUAAAUACACCCACAGAGAUUGUCUUCACAUUAAGUGGCAGGAGAGUCUGUCAUAUAAAUCGACCAAGAUGGCCCAAGUAUAUUGGCCCUACAUUUUUUUUCCUUUUUAUUUUUGUUUUUUUGUCUUUUUUCUAGGGCUGCUCCCACGGCAUAUGGAAGUUCCCAGGCUAGGGGUUGAAUCGGGGCUGCAGCCUCCGGUCUACGCCAGAGCCACAGCAACACAGGAUCCGAGCCACCUCUGCAACCUACACCACAGCUCACGGCAAUGCCGGAUCCUUAACCCACUGAGCAAGGCCAGGGAUCGAACCUGCAACCUCACGGUUCCUAGUCAGAUUCGUUAACCACUGUGCCACGACGGGAACUCCAUAUUUUACAAAACUUUUAUGACUUUACACAUUUUACACAAUUGCUUUAAAUGUAGCACUUAUAAAGCAGAUUUUUAACCUUUUAGGGAUUGCCUGAUUUGCAUGUUUGGUGAAAUUGUUCUUGUAAAUCUGUUAGCCACAGGUAAGGUACGUCCUGGUGCUCUUAAUGACCCCCAAGCCACUGAUGCCCUUCAGUGCUCUCUGAACGAAGACCCCAUCUUGCUGCUGAGUGAUAGCACUUAGAUAAUAAGUCUCUUCUCUUAUUCCCUUAUUUCCUGGGAGUUCUUUGGCCUUCCUCUCCUGAGAGGUGCAGAAAUUCAACAUAACCCAUCCUUACUACAAAACUAUUAAAGUACCUCCCAAAUAAAGCUCAUUUUGUGUUAUUGCCACAUUGUGGUUAUAUAUUUGUCCUAGAUCAGCUCAGAAAUCCCCAAUCUCACUGCAGAAAUUGACACUUAUUAUAAUUGUCUCCAUUUCUAUAGUGAUCAUUUUAGAGGUAUAACAGAAAGCCGUCUAUGUCUAGAAUCCAUUUGGAUAAUCUUUGACCUGUUCUGCAGAUAUCCUGUUUGAUUAGCAUUGAAAAGAUUAUCAUCUAGUAUAUUUUUCAAGAAUGCUCUUAAAAUUUUAAUACGUUUGUUUUCUUUACAAGUAGAUUUAUGAGCUAUCUACUGUUGUGUAGCAAAUUUUCCAAAAUUUUAUGGUUUAAAACAAGAAACAUCAGUUAUAGUUCGUAGGGUUUAGGAAUUCAAGUGUAGUUUAGCUAACAGUUCUGGCACAGCAUUUCUCAGAAUAUUUGAGCCAGAGAGUCUGUUGAGACUGCAAUCAUCUGAUGAUUUUACUAGGUUGUAGGAUUUGCUUAUAAAAUUGCUCAAUCACAUUGCUUUUGGUAGGAACACUUCAUUCCUUCUGUGUGGGCUUUAGCCUAUAGCAGUUGGCUUUUCCCAGAGAGAAUAAUCCAAGAGAGAGCAAGGAAAAAGCCUAAAUUGCCUUUUAUGAUACAGUCCUGUGUCAUGUGCUAUCACUUCCAGUUUUUUUCUGCUGGUUACAACUGAGUCACUGAAUACAACCCACUUUCGUAGGUUGAUAGUUGGACUUUACCACUUCAAAAAUGGAAUAUUGGAGAAUUUGGAUGUAUUUUUGAACCAUUAAAGGAGUGAUUUCAGGAAUAAUUGACAGAGAAACAGACUGAAAAUCUUGCCCCUUUAUAAAGUCAAUGAACAAAUGGCCAAAAUUGUCAGAAACUGUAUUUUUUUGAACUCUGGAAAUAAACCAAAUUCUUGAAUCAACCUGGGCAAUGCUUAUUCUGAAAGUGUAGCUUAUUCUCAAUAAGAAGAGCAAAUGUUGUGCCAUUUUAAUUUACCUCAGUCCCAUUCCCCAAUCCUUGGCUAAAUGGUAGCAAUAAAGAUAACAGCCCACUUGCCUGGAACUGGAGGGAGCAGGGCAGUUUUCAUUUAUAAAUAAAGAUAAUUAUUUGUUCUUACCUGUCUGGUGGCUACCUGUAGCACUGAUUCAGAAAUUUAAUCUUUAUUUCACCUAACUCAAAACUGACCUAGUGAUAAAUAUGUUUCCCAGGAAACAUAUGUUGAAAAUAUUGAAAGAUAAUGUCAGGUUGCCACUGCCUUAAGCAAUAGAUAACAGUUGGGACAUAUAAUACCCUAAGGAAAACACUUGAGAGGAAAGGCUGAGGAAUGAUAUAUCUGAAAGGGCUUUGAAAGCUCUGUCAAAUUCCUGGCAAUAUAGAAAGCCAUGUAUGUACUCGGCUGUGUGCUUACUGGGUUGGGGUUGGGGAGAGCCUGAGUAGACCCUAAAUCUCACCUCCUACUGACCCCGAGGCUAUUUGGGGUCAGGAAAUGAAGACAAAGGCAGAAUUGUAAACUUCCUGGCUUCGUGUUGAAGGUGUGCCCCCAACACAUAGAGCCCCUUGUCAAAAACAAAGCUUUUUUUGUCUUCAAAUGUUUAAGAAAAUAUGCCCAGUUAUUAGCGGACAGAACAGAGACUUCAGAGGCUAAAAUAGUAGUACAGAGACACAAGAACAGAAUUAGUUUUAAAAAGUCAUUAAGUGGGAGCUGGGAUGGGGGAAUUAGAUUAAGGUGGUCAAAAGGUUCAAACUUCCAGUUAUAAGAUAAAUUAAGUACUGGAGAUACAAUGUACAACAUGAUGACUGUAGUUAAUACUUCUAUAUGGUCUAUUUGAAAGUUGUUAAGAGAGCAGAUCCUAACAGUCCUCAUCAAAAGGAAAGUUUUUCUUUCUUUUUGUAUGUAUUGGUUUCAUUAAUGCCUUGCCCCUGAAGUCAGGAAAUACUUUGCCAGUAAUGGACUGCAAAUGCAAUGCCCCUGGCCAUCCAGAACCCCAUGAAGGUGAGUUCAACACUAAAGGCAUCAAAGUGGUUUAUGCCCCUGUAUACAAUGUCUCUAAUUCAGUCUUUAUCUCAGAAGGUCAUAAGGACCUUUAAGGUUCAUUACACACAGUACUUUAUGGAAAAGAUUGUCAGUGCUAUAGAAGGGAAUUCUGACAGAACAUCAUGGAAGUCUGGAUGAUAACACCACUGAAGAUGCUGUUGUUAUAGAAAAAGCCAUCAAGCCUGAAACAAUAAAUUCCUGCUGGAAAAAUCUUUGUCCAGAUGUGCAUGCCUUCACAGGAUUUAUGACAGCCAGUCAACGAAAUCAUGAAAAUAAUUGUGGAUAUGGCAAAAAAAAAAAAAAAAAAAAAAAAAAAGCAUGGGUCUGUGUUUCAGGAUAUGGAUCUUAGAGAAAUUCAAGAGCUAGUAGACACCACACUGGAGGAAUUAACAGAUGACAGGUUGAUGGAUAUGAAUGCUUCUGAACCAGUGCCAGACGAUGAGGGAGAAGAUGUAGAAGCAAUGCCAGAAAACAAAUUGAUGUUAGGCAAUCUAGCAUAAAGUUUCAACUAUUCAAGAUUACUUUUGACUUCACAAUGUGGACCCUCCUAUGAUAUGGGUGCUGAACCUAAAGCAAAUGGUAGAAGAAGAAUUGGUACUGUAUGGAACAGUUUUAGAGAAAUGGAAAACCAAAAAUCAGGAAAAAAUUAUGAUGUAUUUGUGUAAAUUUACACAGUGUGCCUGCCUCUCCUGCCUUCCCUGCAACCUCUGAGACAGCAAGACCAGUCCCCUCUUCUUCCUCCUCAAUCUACUCUACAUGAAGACAAUGAGGUUGAAGGCUUUUAUGAUGAUCCAGUUUCAUUUAAUGAAAACUUCAGUUUAAAAGUUUGGACAUUAAUAGCAGACUUGUUGUAAGUAAUAGCUUAUAAUAUACAUCAGUACUAUGUAAACUAACUGAAAGAUUGUGAAAAUUGAAGUAACACAAUCAUGUUCCUAUACAGAGUGAUCUUUUGUCUUUUCCUUUCUCUAAGCAUCACAGUUUUGAGUGGUUCCUGAAGAUUUUAAUCACAUUCCAGCAAGUCUCAAAGUCUCUUCAUCUUUGACACCGCCUGUACUGUUGAACUCUCUGGACCUUGUCUCAUACUUGGUCCAGUUUCUGUAUCUUUAGUAAUGAUAUAAUUAAGGAAAUUGAAUAUUAUCAAAUCCAUCCCAAUGCUAUAGAGGGUGGAGAAAAAUACAAGUAAACUAAAAUACAAGGACAAAAUCCUACUACAGUAAACCAUCGUGCAUAUAAAUAUCUAUGAAAUAAAAGAACCACAAAUAGAUUCAUAUGACUGUAGAGGGGAACUGAGGAAAAUGCAAUGAUAAUGCAAAAACAGGCUUAAGGAGAAUGAUCUACAAUAUAAAAAUUCACUUGCAGAGUUCCCUUUGUGGUUCAGUGGUUAACGAAUCUGACUAGGAACCAUGAAGUUGCAGGUUUGAUCCCUGGCCUUGCUCAGUAGGUUAAGGAUCCAGCGUUG
Sus scrofa (pig) is the source of this 11081-nucleotide long non-coding RNA. RefSeq lists it as uncharacterized. Lineage: Eukaryota; Metazoa; Chordata; Mammalia; Artiodactyla; Suidae. The record is from RefSeq and is a predicted model, not a curated record.